This 527-nucleotide ribosomal RNA is filed under the name uncultured bacterium. RNAcentral's name for it is "bacterial SSU rRNA". It matches the Rfam family "Bacterial small subunit ribosomal RNA", at positions 28 to 554 of the family's 1533-position model. The record is from RNAcentral.
AUUGAACGCUGGCGGCGUGCUUAACACAUGCAAGUCGAGCGGCAGCGCGGGAGCAAUCCUGGCGGCGAGCGGCGAACGGGUGAGUAAUGCUUCGGAAUCUGCCCAGUAGUGGGGAACAACCAGUCGAAAGACUGGCUAAUACCGCAUACGACCUAAGGGUGAAAGCAGGGGAUCGCAAGACCUUGCGCUAUUGGAUGAGCCGAAGUCGGAUUAGCUAGUUGGUGAGGUAACGGCUCACCAAGGCGACGAUCCGUAGCUGGUCUGAGAGGACGACCAGCCACACUGGGACUGAGACACGGCCCAGACUCCUACGGGAGGCAGCAGUGGGGAAUAUUGSACAAUGGGGGAAACCCUGAUCCAGCGACGCCGCGUGUGUGAAGAAGGCCUGCGGGUUGUAAAGCACUUUUAGUGGGGAGAAACCCCCGACCUAAUACGUCGGGGAUUUGACUACCCAAAGAAAAAGCACCGGCUAACUCUGUGCCAGCAGCCGCGGUAAUGCAGAGGGUGCAAGCGUUAAUCGGAAUUAC